AAAAUGUUAUCUUUCAAGGUUGACUGGUGUGUUCCUUUCCCCUAGUUUUAUAGACUUUGGUAAGGAGGGAUAAUAACAACCAUUUUAAUCACUUACAGAGUACAAACUAUUCGUCCAACGUGUCUCAUUGCUUCUGCUACAGAGGAAAAGCAGCCAAGGGGAUUCAGCUGUUUUUGCUUUAAGUAUCUGCUCCAGAGGAUCU
RNAcentral lists this long non-coding RNA (202 nucleotides) under Pogona vitticeps (central bearded dragon). RNAcentral describes it as "lncRNA (ENSPVIG00000022552.1)". The record is from RNAcentral. Lineage: Eukaryota; Metazoa; Chordata; Lepidosauria; Squamata; Agamidae.